This 426-nucleotide ribosomal RNA is filed under the name uncultured anaerobic ammonium-oxidizing bacterium. RNAcentral's name for it is "bacterial SSU rRNA". It matches the Rfam family "Bacterial small subunit ribosomal RNA", at positions 383 to 810 of the family's 1533-position model. The record is from RNAcentral.
GUGAACGAGCGACGCCGCGUGCAGGAUGAAGGCCUUCGGGUUGUAAACUCCUGUCGGAGGGGAAGAAGGGGGCCUCACGGCCCCUUGACUGAUCCUCGGAGGAAGCACGGGCUAAGUUCGUGCCAGCAGCCGCGGUAAGACGAACCGUGCGAACGUUAUUCGGAAUCAUUGGGCUUAAAGCGCGUGUAGGCGGGUGGGCGCGUCGGUCGCUGAAAGCCCCCGGCUCAACCGGGGGAGGGGCGCCGAAACGGCCCGCCUUGAGGGGCGUAGGGGGAUCUGGAACUUCCGGUGGAGCGGUGAAAUGCGUUGAGAUCGGAAGGAACGCCCGUGGCGAAAGCGAGGUCCUGGACGCCUACUGACGCUGAGACGCGAAAGCCAGGGGAGCGAACGGGAUUAGAUACCCCGGUAGUCCUGGCCGUAAACGAU